This 396-nucleotide ribosomal RNA is filed under the name uncultured bacterium. RNAcentral's name for it is "partial 16S ribosomal RNA". It matches the Rfam family "Bacterial small subunit ribosomal RNA", at positions 523 to 918 of the family's 1533-position model. The record is from RNAcentral.
AUACGUAGGGAGCGAGCGUUGUCCGGAAUUACUGGGUGUAAAGGGAGCGUAGGCGGGAGUGCAAGUCAGAUGUGAAAUACAUGGGCUCAACCCAUGGGCUGCAUUUGAAACUGCAUUUCUUGAGUGAAGUAGAGGUAAGCGGAAUUCCUGGUGUAGCGGUGAAAUGCGUAGAUAUCAGGAGGAACACCGGUGGCGAAGGCGGCUUACUGGGCUUUUACUGACGCUGAGGCUCGAAAGCGUGGGGAGCAAACAGGAUUAGAUACCCUGGUAGUCCACGCUGUAAACGAUGAUUACUAGGUGUGGGGGGACUGACCCCUUCCGUGCCGCAGUUAACACAAUAAGUAAUCCACCUGGGGAGUACGAUCGCAAGAUUGAAACUCAAAGGAAUUGACGGGG